GGUUAAGUUAAUAAGGGCGCACGGUGGAUGCCUUGGCACUAGAAGCCGAAGAAGGACGUGACAAACGACGAAAUGCUUUGGGGAGCUGUAAGUAAGCGACGAUCCAGAGAUGUCCGAAUGGGGGAACCCACUAGCUGAUGGCUAGUACUCCUAUCUGUUAAGGAUAGGUAGAGGAAGACGCAGUGAACUGAAACAUCUAAGUAGCUGCAGGAAGAGAAAGCAAAAGCGAUUGCCUGAGUAGCGGCGAGCGAAACGGCAGGAGGGCAAACCGAAGAGUUUACUCUUCGGGGUUGUAGGACUGCAAUGUGGACAUAAAGAAUAUAGAAGAAUGACAUGGGAAGGUCAGCCAAAGAGAGUAAGAGCCUCGUAUUCGAAAUAGUCUUUAUACCUAGCAGUAUCCUGAGUACGGCGGGACACGAGAAAUCCCGUCGGAAUCUGGGAGGACCAUCUCCCAACCCUAAAUACUCUCUAGUGACCGAUAGUGAACCAGUACCGUGAGGGAAAGGUGAAAAGCACCCCGGGAGGGGAGUGAAAUAGAACCUGAAACCGUGUGCCUACAACAAGUUCGAGCCCGUUAAUGGGUGAGAGCGUGCCUUUUGUAGAAUGAACCGGCGAGUUACGAUAUGAUGCGAGGUUAAGUUGAAGAGACGGAGCCGUAGGGAAACCGAGUCUGAAUAGGGCGCAAUAGUAUUAUGUCGUAGACCCGAAACCAUGUGACCUACCCAUGAGCAGGUUGAAGGUGAGGUAAAACUCACUGGAGGACCGAACCAGGGCACGUUGAAAAGUGCUUGGAUGACUUGUGGGUAGCGGAGAAAUUCCAAACGAACUUGGAGAUAGCUGGUUCUCUCCGAAAUAGCUUUAGGGCUAGCGUCGACAUUAAGAUUCUUGGAGGUAGAGCACUGUUUGGGUGAGGGGUCCAUCCCGGAUUACCAAUCUCAGAUAAACUCCGAAUGCCAAAGAAUUAUGGUCGGCAGUCAGACUGCGAGUGCUAAGAUCCGUAGUCGAAAGGGAAACAGCCCAGACCACCAGCUAAGGUCCCAAAAUAAUUGUUAAGUGGAAAAGGAUGUGGGGUUGCACAGACAACUAGGAUGUUAGCUUAGAAGCAGCUAUUCAUUCAAAGAGUGCGUAAUAGCUCACUAGUCGAGUGACCCUGCGCCGAAAAUGUACCGGGGCUAAAACAAUUUACCGAAGCUGUGGAUACCUUUAUAGGUAUGGUAGGAGAGCGUUCUAUGUGUGGAGAAGGUGUACCGUGAGGAGCGCUGGAACGCAUAGAAGUGAGAAUGCCGGUAUGAGUAGCGAAAGACAGGUGAGAAUCCUGUCCACCGUAAGACUAAGGUUUCCAGGGGAAGGCUCGUCCGCCCUGGGUUAGUCGGGACCUAAGGAGAGACCGAAAGGUGUAUCCGAUGGACAACAGGUUGAUAUUCCUGUACUAGAGUAUGUAGUGAAGGAGGGACGCAGUAGGCUAACUAAAGCGUGCGACUGGAAGUGCACGUCUAAGCAGUGAGGUGUGAAUUGAGUUAAAUGCUUAAUUCU
Molecule: ribosomal RNA, 1533 nt
Filed under: Streptococcus sp. SP1
Lineage: Bacteria; Bacillati; Bacillota; Bacilli; Lactobacillales; Streptococcaceae
Description: partial 23S ribosomal RNA
Rfam family: Bacterial large subunit ribosomal RNA
Source: RNAcentral